GUGGGGAAUCUUGCGCAAUGGGCGAAAGCCUGACGCAGCCAUGCCGCGUGAAUGAUGAAGGUCUUAGGAUUGUAAAAUUCUUUCACCGGGGACGAUAAUGACGGUACCCGGAGAAGAAGCUCCGGCUAACUUCGUGCCAGCAGCCGCGGUAAUACGAAGGGGGCUAGCGUUGCUCGGAAUUACUGGGCGUAAAGGGCGCGUAGGCGGACAGCUUAGUCAGAGGUGAAAGCCCAGGGCUCAACCUUGGAAUUGCCUUUGAUACUGACUGUCUUGAGUUUGGGAGAGGUGAGUGGAACUCCGAGUGUAGAGGUGAAAUUCGUAGAUAUUCGGAAGAACACCAGUGGCGAAGGCGACUCACUGGCCCAAUACUGACGCUGAGGCGCGAAAGCGUGGGGAGCAAACAGGAUUAGAAACCCCUGUAGUCC
RNAcentral lists this ribosomal RNA (425 nucleotides) under uncultured bacterium. RNAcentral describes it as "partial 16S ribosomal RNA". It matches the Rfam family "Bacterial small subunit ribosomal RNA", at positions 354 to 796 of the family's 1533-position model. The record is from RNAcentral.